AGCAGGAUUAGAUACCCUGGUAGUCCACUCCGUAUAUGAUGUCAACUUGGAGGUUGUCCCGGAGAGGUGUGGCCUCUCGGAGAUAAUGCGUUAAGUCAGUCUCAGAGGGAGUUCGGCCGCAGGGUUAAAACUCAAAUGAUUUGACGGGGGCCCGCACAAGCGGUGGAGCAUGGCGCUUAAUUUGAUGCAACGCGAAGAACCUUACCUGGUCUUGACAUCCACGGAACUUUUCAGAGAUGGAAUUGUGCCUUCGGGAACUGUGAGACAGGUGCUGCAUGGCUGUCGUCAGUUCGUGUUGUGAAAUGUUGGGUUAAGUCCCGCAACCAGUGCUACCCCUAUCGUCAGGUGCGAGCGGUCCGGCCGGGCACUCAAAGGAAUUCCCCAGUGAUACCUCGGAGGAAGGUGGGGACGGCGUCAAGUCAUCAGGGCCCUUGGGACCAGGGCUACACACGUGCUACAAUGGCGCAUACAAAGAGAAGCGACCUCGCGAGAGCAAGCGGACCUCAUAAACAUCGUCGUAGUCCGGAUUGGAGUCUGCAACUUGACUCCAUGAAGUCGGAAUCGGUUGUAAUCGUGGAUCAGAAUUACACGGCGAAUUCGUUCCCGGGCCUUGUACACACCGCCUGUCCCACCAUGCGAGUGGGAGCAAAAGAAGUAGUUAGCUUAACCUUCGGGAGGGCUGCAUCGCAGUCGAUCCAAUACGU
This 704-nucleotide ribosomal RNA is filed under the name Escherichia coli. Its description in RNAcentral is "bacterial SSU rRNA". It matches the Rfam family "Bacterial small subunit ribosomal RNA", at positions 771 to 1476 of the family's 1533-position model. Lineage: Bacteria; Pseudomonadati; Pseudomonadota; Gammaproteobacteria; Enterobacterales; Enterobacteriaceae. The record is from RNAcentral.